This 208-nucleotide long non-coding RNA is filed under the name Elaeis guineensis (African oil palm). RNAcentral's name for it is "long non-coding RNA (EGUI_LNC053855)". Lineage: Eukaryota; Viridiplantae; Streptophyta; Magnoliopsida; Arecales; Arecaceae. The record is from RNAcentral.
UCAUGCAUAAAUAAUAAAAUUUUAUUAAGAUCAAAAGCAAGAGAAAGCUACAAGAUAUUCAUUGCAUCAAAAAAAUAUUACCAUAGGAAUAAACAAAGAUAAUUACAACCAUUACUCAAAGAUGUCUUCUACUUCUUUCUAGAACUCCAGCCUUUAGUCGUGCAUGGAUGAAGACUUCCCUAUCAUUACUUCUGAAAGAGAGGCGGGG